RNAcentral lists this ribosomal RNA (497 nucleotides) under uncultured bacterium. RNAcentral describes it as "partial 16S ribosomal RNA". It matches the Rfam family "Bacterial small subunit ribosomal RNA", at positions 28 to 507 of the family's 1533-position model. The record is from RNAcentral.
GAUGAACGCUGGCGGCGUGCCUAAUACAUGCAAGUCGAGCGAACAGAUAAGGAGCUUGCUCCUUUGACGUUAGCGGCGGACGGGUGAGUUACACGUGGAUAACCUACCUAUAAGACUGGGAUAACUUCGGGAAACCGGAGCUAAUACCGGAUAACAUAUUGAACCGCAUGGUUCAAUAGUGAAAGGCGGCUUUGCUGUCACUUAUAGAUGGAUCCGCGCCGUAUUAGCUAGUUGGUAAGGUAACGGCUUACCAAGGCAACGAUACGUAGCCGACCUGAGAGGGUGAUAGGCCACACGGGAACGGAGACGCGGUCCAGACUCCUGCGGGAGGCAGCAGUAGGGAAUCUUCCGCAAUGGGCGAAAGCCUGACGGAGCAACGCCGCGUGAGUGAUGAAGGUCUUCGGAUCGUAAAACUCUGUUAUCAGGGAAGAACAAAUGUGUAAGUAACUGUGCACAUCUUGACGGUACCUGAUCAGAAAGCCACGGCUAACUACGUG